ACGGGAGGCAGCAGUGGGGGAUAUUGCACAAUGGAGGAAACUCUGAUGCAGCGACGCCGCGUGAGCGAAGAAGUAUUUCGGUAUGUAAAGCUCUAUCAGCAGGGAAGAAAAUGACAGUACCUGACUAAGAAGCCCCGGCUAACUACGUGCCAGCAGCCGCGGUAAUACGUAGGGGGCAAGCGUUAUCCGGAUUUACUGGGUGUAAAGGGAGCGUAGGCGGUAAAGCAAGUCAGAGGUGAAAACCCAGGGCUUAACCUUGGGACUGCCUUUGAAACUGUUUUACUGGAGUGCAGGAGAGGUAAGUGGAAUUCCUGGUGUAGCGGUGAAAUGCGUAGAUAUCAGGAAGAACACCGGUGGCGAAGGCGGCUUACUGGACUGUAACUGACGCUGAGGCUCGAAAGCGUGGGGAGCAAACAGGAUUAGAUACCCUGGUA
RNAcentral lists this ribosomal RNA (434 nucleotides) under uncultured Oribacterium sp. Its description in RNAcentral is "partial 16S ribosomal RNA". It matches the Rfam family "Bacterial small subunit ribosomal RNA", at positions 341 to 792 of the family's 1533-position model. Lineage: Bacteria; Bacillati; Bacillota; Clostridia; Lachnospirales; Lachnospiraceae. The record is from RNAcentral.